This is a non-coding RNA of Camelina sativa (false flax), 255 nucleotides long. The record is from RefSeq and is a predicted model, not a curated record. NCBI's taxonomy places the organism in Eukaryota, Viridiplantae, Streptophyta, Magnoliopsida, Brassicales, Brassicaceae.
AAAGCUUAUUUCGGAUUAUCUGGAGGGUACAAUCUAUACAAUUUGGUUGAUCACUUCCAUAAUCGUGGCCUGUAUCGGUCGAUUUUCCUAAGCAUAAUGGAAGGAGAAGAGUCCUUUGAAAAAUUCUCUCCGGAAGUAAGAUUGAAAGACCCAGUUGUUGGAAAAGCCGCGUCCCUAAUGCCUCCUAUAAUACUUUUCCAUGGAUCCUCAGAUAAUUCCAUACCAUGCGAUGCAAGGUAUAUAUAAUCGUCCUCU